RNAcentral lists this ribosomal RNA (384 nucleotides) under uncultured bacterium. RNAcentral describes it as "bacterial SSU rRNA". It matches the Rfam family "Bacterial small subunit ribosomal RNA", at positions 29 to 414 of the family's 1533-position model. The record is from RNAcentral.
AUUGAACGCUGGCGGCAUGCCUUACACAUGCAAGUCGAACGGCAGCACGGGGGCAACCCUGGUGGCGAGUGGCGAACGGGUGAGUAACACAUCGGAACGUGUCCUGUUGUGGGGGAUAACCAGUCGAAAGACUGGCUAAUACCGCAUGAGCUGGAGACAGGAAAGCGGGGGACCUGAAAGGGCCUCGUGCGAUUGGAGCGGCCGAUGUCCGAUUAGCUAGUUGGUGGGGAAAGGCCACCAAGGCGACGAUCGGUAGCUGGCCUGAGAGGAUGAUCAGCCACACUGGGACUGAGACACGGCCCAGACUCCUACGGGAGGCAGCAGUGGGGAAUUUUGGACAAUGGGGGCAACCCUGAUCCAGCCAUGCCGCGUGAGUGAAGAAGG